This 581-nucleotide ribosomal RNA is filed under the name uncultured bacterium. RNAcentral's name for it is "partial 16S ribosomal RNA". It matches the Rfam family "Bacterial small subunit ribosomal RNA", at positions 355 to 932 of the family's 1533-position model. The record is from RNAcentral.
UGGGGAAUUUUGGACAAUGGGCGAAAGCCUGAUCCAGCAAUGCCGCGUGUGUGAAGAAGGCCUUCGGGUUGUAAAGCACUUUUGUCCGGAAAGAAAUGGCUCUGGUUAAUACCUGGGGUCGAUGACGGUACCGGAAGAAUAAGGACCGGCUAACUACGUGCCAGCAGCCGCGGUAAUACGUAGGGUCCAAGCGUUAAUCGGAAUUACUGGGCGUAAAGCGUGCGCAGGCGGUUGUGCAAGACCGAUGUGAAAUCCCCGAGCUUAACUUGGGAAUUGCAUUGGUGACUGCACGGCUAGAGUGUGUCAGAGGGGGGUAGAAUUCCACGUGUAGCAGUGAAAUGCGUAGAGAUGUGGAGGAAUACCGAUGGCGAAGGCAGCCCCCUGGGAUAACACUGACGCUCAUGCACGAAAGCGUGGGGAGCAAACAGGAUUAGAUACCCUGGUAGUCCACGCCCUAAACGAUGUCAACUAGUUGUUGGGGAUUCAUUUCCUUAGUAACGUAGCUAACGCGUGAAGUUGGACCGCCUGGGGAGUACGGUCGCAAGAUUAAAAGCUCAAAUGAAUUGACGGGGUCAUAGCUG